AGGAGCCGUAUGCGUAAAAGCGCAUGUACGGAUCUGUGAGGGGCUUGCGGCGUGAGCCACUUGUCUACUCGAC
Molecule: non-coding RNA, 73 nt
Filed under: Murimonas intestini
Lineage: Bacteria; Bacillati; Bacillota; Clostridia; Lachnospirales; Lachnospiraceae
Source: RNAcentral